AGUGAAUGCUGGCGGUAGGCCUAACACUUGCAAGUCGAACGGCAGCACAGUAAGAGCUUGCUCUUACGGGUGGCGAGUGGCGGACGGGUGGGGAAUACAUCGGAAUCUACUUUUUCGUGGGGGAUAACGUAGGGAAACUUACGCUAAUACCGCAUACGACCUACGGGUGAAAGCAGGGGAUCUUCGGACCUUGCGCGAUUGAAUGAGCCGAUGUCGGAUUAGCUAGUUGGCGGGGUAAAGGCCCACCAAGGCGACGAUCCGUAGCUGGUCUGAGAGGAUGAUCAGCCACACUGGAACUGAGACACGGUCCAGACGCCUACGGGAGGCAGCAGUGGGGAAUAUCGGACAAUGGGCGCAAGCCUGAUCCAGCCAUACCGCGUGGGUGAAGAAGGCCUUCGGGUUGUAAAGCCCUUUUGUUGGGAAAGAAAAGCAGCAGGUUAAUACCCCGCUGUUCUGACGGUACCCAAAGAAUAAGCACCGGCUAACUUCGUG
RNAcentral lists this ribosomal RNA (492 nucleotides) under uncultured bacterium. RNAcentral's name for it is "partial 16S ribosomal RNA". It matches the Rfam family "Bacterial small subunit ribosomal RNA", at positions 29 to 507 of the family's 1533-position model. The record is from RNAcentral.